Molecule: ribosomal RNA, 427 nt
Filed under: uncultured bacterium
Lineage: Bacteria
Description: partial 16S ribosomal RNA
Rfam family: Bacterial small subunit ribosomal RNA
Source: RNAcentral
UGGGGAAUAUUGCACAAUGGGCGCAAGCCUGAUGCAGCCAUGCCGCGUGUAUGAAGAAGGCCUUCGGGUUGUAAAGUACUUUCAGCGGGGAGGAAGGCGAUAAGGUUAAUAACCUUGUCGAUUGACGUUACCCGCAGAAGAAGCACCGGCUAACUCCGUGCCAGCAGCAGCGGUAAUACGGAGGGGGCAAGCGUUAAUCGGAAUUACUGGGCGUAAAGCGCACGCAGGCGGUCUGUCAAGUCGGAUGUGAAAUCCCCGGGCUCAACCUGGGAACUGCAUUCGAAACUGGCAGGCUAGAGUCUUGUAGAGGGGGGUAGAAUUCCAGGUGUAGCGGUGAAAUGCGUAGAGAUCUGGAGGAAUACCGGUGGCGAAGGCGGCCCCCUGGACAAAGACUGACGCUCAGGUGCGAAAGCGUGGGGAGCAAACA